This is a long non-coding RNA of Medicago truncatula (barrel medic), 657 nucleotides long. RefSeq lists it as uncharacterized. Lineage: Eukaryota; Viridiplantae; Streptophyta; Magnoliopsida; Fabales; Fabaceae. The record is from RefSeq and is a predicted model, not a curated record. The transcript is spliced from 3 exons.
GAAUACCAUUUUGUACUGAUGGCAUUGAAGCGCGGGAAAACCCCAGGUUUUUCAAUUUGGUCUGCCAAUUACCGUUUUACCCUUUUGGUGGAAAGCAUUGGCCUGUGCACACUGCACAAGAGCUGGACGGUUCACACUGCAGAAUUGACAAAUUUCAUUGCUGAAUGCUGAAGGUUUGAAAUGCGGGGUCAUCAUUACAAACCCAUGUCAUCAUUAAGUGCUUAUGAAAUAAGCUAGAAACAGCUUAUGGACAUGUCAUAAGUUGUUUUUAUAAGCUUUUCUCAGACAAUUUUUCAAGUGUUUAUGCAGGUAUUUCUGAAUGACAGAUACCAUAUGAGAAAUGCUCAUGCAGAGUGUCAGGAAGCAAUUUACCAAGUUGUUCGGGGAAGCUUUCAAAGCUAAUGUUCUCACCGAACCUUAUGUGCAAAAAAUGGCGUCAAACAUGCUGAUUAUCAAUGCAACACGGGUACAAGGAUACGCGAUGGAGGCUGUCUGGUCAUUUUAAAAAGAAGAAUGGAAAAAAGAAGAAAGUCAUUGACAUUGCUCUUGAGGAUUUAGAGUAAAUCUUAGUGUUCUGUCUCUUUUAUAUUUCAGUAAUUUUUUGUUGCUUCAUUUAUAUAGUUUGAAGAUGCUGAAGUUUUCUUUUUCUAUUACCAA